ACACCUCAACUCUCAUGGCUUGCCAUGAUGAGCUUGGACCAUGGGGGUCUUGCUGGCCAGCGGUCGGCUCCUCUCAAAUGAAUCAGCUUGCCAGUGUUUGGUGGCACCACAGGUGUGAUAACUAUCUACGCUUGUGGUUUCCUGCCAGGCAUCCUUCAGCAAUGGAGGUUCACUGGAGCUCAUAAAUGUCUCUCCAUAGCGAGGACGACUUCUUGAAC
This 218-nucleotide unclassified non-coding RNA is filed under the name uncultured Tomentella. RNAcentral's name for it is "sequence contains ITS2". The record is from RNAcentral. Lineage: Eukaryota; Fungi; Basidiomycota; Agaricomycetes; Thelephorales; Thelephoraceae.